Molecule: long non-coding RNA, 475 nt
Organism: Orbicella faveolata
Lineage: Eukaryota; Metazoa; Cnidaria; Anthozoa; Scleractinia; Merulinidae
Source: RefSeq, a predicted model, not a curated record
AAAGUAAGCCUUAUUUUAAGAGUACCCAUACUGGUAAAUCUGCUGUUGUCAGAAUACAUUUUUACAUGUCAUAGAGAUACCAAAACCCCUGAAAACCCUGUUGGCCAUAUAGACACUUAAGUAAGGUGGACAGCUCUGUAAUGUAGACAGUUACAACUGGUCCUAAGAAUGUAAACAAAUUUGUUGUGCAUUUCCAUUUUGACCAGGUCUUACCAAUGGUCAAGCAUCUUCAUUUUCCUGGCAGAGCCACCUAUCCACGGGACAGUCUUCAUCUCUGCAGCAUGACACCUCUUCUAGCUUGGACAUCAUAGCUAACAAUCUGACGAAGGAAGUGACCAAUGGCAGACAGGAACAAGGCGUGGAUGAAGUCGAGUUCAUGUCGUCAUCAUCAUCAUCGUCUUCUAGUGACAGCCCAUAAUACUAACUUUGUAUAAAAUAAAUAUUACAGUAAAUAAACCUCCUUCAAAUUGACUGA